AGUGAACGCUGGCGGUAGGCCUAACACAUGCAAGUCGAACGGCAGCACAGUAAGAGCUUGCUCUUACGGGUGGCGAGUGGCGGACGGGUGAGGAAUACAUCGGAAUCUACUUUUUCGUGGGGGAUAACGUAGGGAAACUUACGCUAAUACCGCAUACGACCUACGGGUGAAAGCAGGGGAUCUUCGGACCUUGCGCGAUUGAAUGAGCCGAUGUCGGAUUAGCUAGUUGGCGGGGUAAAGGCCCACCAAGGCGACGAUCCGUAGCUGGUCUGAGAGGAUGAUCAGCCACGUUGGAACUGAGACACGGUCCAGACUCCUACGGGAGGCAGCAGUGGGGAAUAUUGGACAAUGGGCGCAAGCCUGAUCCAGCCAUACCGCGUGGGUGAAGAAGGCCUUCGGGUUGUAAAGCCCUUUUGUUGGGAAAGAAAAGCAGCAGGUUAAUACCCCGCUGUUCUGACGGUACCCAAAGAAUAGGCACCGGCUAACUUCGUG
This 492-nucleotide ribosomal RNA is filed under the name uncultured bacterium. Its description in RNAcentral is "partial 16S ribosomal RNA". It matches the Rfam family "Bacterial small subunit ribosomal RNA", at positions 29 to 507 of the family's 1533-position model. The record is from RNAcentral.